UGUGAAGAAUUGAGUUGGAAUUUUGAC
This 27-nucleotide non-coding RNA is filed under the name Mus musculus (house mouse). Lineage: Eukaryota; Metazoa; Chordata; Mammalia; Rodentia; Muridae. The record is from RNAcentral.